RNAcentral lists this ribosomal RNA (655 nucleotides) under uncultured bacterium. Its description in RNAcentral is "bacterial SSU rRNA". It matches the Rfam family "Bacterial small subunit ribosomal RNA", at positions 243 to 898 of the family's 1533-position model. The record is from RNAcentral.
AGCUAGUUGGCGGGGUAAAGGCCCACCAAGGCGACGAUCGGUAGCUGGUCUGAGAGUAUGAUCAGCCACACUGGAACUGAGACACGGUCCAGACUCCUACGGGAGGCAGCAGUGGGGAAUAUUGGACAAUGGGCGGAAGCCUGAUCCAGCAACGCCGCGUGAGGGAUGACGGCCUUCGGGUUGUAAACCUCUUUCAGCACAGACGAAGCGCCCGUUGCGGGUGGUGACGGUAUGUGCAGAAGAAGCACCGGCCAACUACGUGCCAGCAGCCGCGGUAAUACGUAGGGUGCGAGCGUUGUCCGGAAUUAUUGGGCGUAAAGGGCUCGUAGGCGGUUUGUCGCGUCGGGAGUGAAAUCCACUGGCUUAACUGGUGGCUUGCUUUCGAUACGGGCAGACUGGAGGUAUGCAGGGGAGAACGGAAUUCCUGGUGUAGCGGUGAAAUGCGCAGAUAUCAGGAGGAACACCGGUGGCGAAGGCGGUUCUCUGGGCAUGUCCUGACGCUGAGGAGCGAAAGUGUGGGGAGCGAACAGGAUUAGAUACCCUGGUAGUCCACACCGUAAACGUUGGGCGCUAGGUGUGGGAUCCAUUCCACGGGUUCCGUGCCGCAGCUAACGCAUUAAGCGCCCCGCCUGGGGAGUACGGCCGCAAGGCUAAA